GAUGAACGAGGGAGGGGGGAAGAAUACAUGCAAGUCGAGCGAACGGACGAGAAGCUUGCUUCUCUGAUGUUAGCGGCGGACGGGUGAGUAACACGUGGAUAACCUACCUAUAAGACUGGGAUAACUUCGGGAAACCGGAGCUAAUACCGGAUAAUAUUUUGAACCGCAUGGUUCAAAAGUGAAAGACGGUCUUGCUGUCACUUAUAGAUGGAUCCGCGCUACAUUAGCUAGUUGGUAAGGUAACGGCUUACCAAGGCAACGAUGCAUAGCCGACCUGAGAGGGUGAUCGGCCACACUGGAACUGAGACACGGUCCAGACUCCUACGGGAGGCAGCAGUAGGGAAUCUUCCGCAAUGGGCGAAAGCCUGACGGAGCAACGCCGCGUGAGUGAUGAAGGUCUUCGGAUCGUAAAACUCUGUUAUUAGGGAAGAACAUAUGUGUAAGUAACUGUGCACAUCUUGACGGUACCUAAUCAGAAAGCCACGGCUAACUACGUG
RNAcentral lists this ribosomal RNA (497 nucleotides) under uncultured bacterium. Its description in RNAcentral is "partial 16S ribosomal RNA". It matches the Rfam family "Bacterial small subunit ribosomal RNA", at positions 28 to 507 of the family's 1533-position model. The record is from RNAcentral.